ACCUUCGGGCCUCUCGCGUCAGGAUAUGCCUAGGUGGGAUUAGCUAGUUGGUGAGGUAAUGGCUCACCAAGGCGACGAUCCCUAGCUGGUCUGAGAGGAUGAUCAGCCACACUGGAACUGAGACACGGUCCAGACUCCUACGGGAGGCAGCAGUGGGGAAUAUUGCACAAUGGGCGCAAGCCUGAUGCAGCCAUGCCGCGUGUGUGAAGAAGGCCUUCGGGUUGUAAAGCAACUUUCAGUCGUGAGGAAGUAGUGUAGUUAAUAGCUGCAUUAUUUGACGUUAGCGACAGAAGAAGCACCGGCUAACUCCGUGCCAGCAGCCGCGGUAAUACGGAG
Molecule: ribosomal RNA, 336 nt
Filed under: Vibrio vulnificus
Lineage: Bacteria; Pseudomonadati; Pseudomonadota; Gammaproteobacteria; Vibrionales; Vibrionaceae
Description: bacterial SSU rRNA
Rfam family: Bacterial small subunit ribosomal RNA
Source: RNAcentral